UGUCUCUUAUAAUAAAUCAAUUAAACUGAUCUCCCAGUAAAAAAGCUGAGAUACCCACAUAAGACCAGAAGACCCUGUGAAGCUUAAACUAACAAUUAAACCAAAUAAUAACUACUUUCGGUUGGGGCGACCUUGGAAAAAAAAAGAACUUCCAAAUAACGAUCUUACCUCCAACUAAAAGGCCCCCAACCCACAAAAAAUAUUGACCCAACAUAACUGAUAAACGAACCCAGUUACUCCAGGGAUAACAGCGCAAUCUUCUUCAAGAGCCCAUAUCAAAAAGAAGGUUUACGACCUCGAUGUUGGAUCAGGACAUCCUAAUGGCGCAGCCACUAUUAAGGGUUCGUUUGUUCCACGAUUAAUAGUCCUACGUGAUCU
This 378-nucleotide ribosomal RNA is filed under the name Drymoluber dichrous. RNAcentral's name for it is "partial 16S ribosomal RNA". It matches the Rfam family "Bacterial large subunit ribosomal RNA", at positions 2017 to 2606 of the family's 2925-position model. Lineage: Eukaryota; Metazoa; Chordata; Lepidosauria; Squamata; Colubridae. The record is from RNAcentral.